Long non-coding RNA from Coturnix japonica (Japanese quail), 1776 nucleotides. The record is from Ensembl. Lineage: Eukaryota; Metazoa; Chordata; Aves; Galliformes; Phasianidae.
CAACGUCUUUGGUGCUUGCAAUGCAAUGCAAUCCAUUUGCAAUAUAUAAUACAACCUUUUUGCUCUUUGCAAUUCAAUGCAAUCCACUUUCAAUCUGCAAUACAACGUCUUUGGUGCUUGCAAUGCAAUGCAAUCCAUUUGCAAUAUAUAAUACAACCUUUUUGCUCUUUGCAAUUCAAUGCAAUCCACUUUCAAUCUGCAAUACAACGUCUUUGGUGCUUGCAAUGCAAUGCAAUCCAUUUGCUAUCUGCAAUUCAGUUCAUUGUUUGCAGUGCAAUGCAAUCUGCAGUCUGCAAUGUAACACAUCUGGUGCUUGGAAUGCAAUGCAAUCUGUUUGCAAUCUGCAAUGCAUCACGUUUGGUGCUUGCAAUGCAAUGCAAUCUGUUUGCAAUCUGUGACACAACGUAUUUGCUUCUGGCAAUGCAAUGCAACUCACUUAUUGUUUGCAAUGCAAUGCAACUCAUUUAUAGCUUGCAAUGCAAUGCAAUCUGUUUGCAAUCUGCAAUGCAACAUAUGUGCUUCUUGCAAUGCAAUGCAACUCACUUAUUGCUUGCAAUGUAAUGCAACCCAUUUGCAACCUGCAAUGCAAAGUAUUCACUCCUUGCAAUGCAACACAAUCUGUUUGCAAUCUGCAACACAACUCGUUUACUUCUGGCAAUGCAAUGCAACUCGUUUAUAGCUUGCAAUGCAAUGAAACCCAUUUGCAAACUACAAUGCAACACAUUUACUCCUUGCAAUGCAAUGCAACCUGUUUGCUCUUUGCAAUGCAAUGCAACUCAUUUGUUUGCAACGCAACUGGCUUAUCACUUGCAAUGCAAUGCAACCCAUUUGCAAUCUGCAACACAUUUACUCCUUGUAGUGCAAUGAAACUCAUUUGUUAUUUGCAAUGCAAUACAACUCACUUAUUGUUUGCAAUGCAAUGCAAUUCAUUUGUUGUUUGCAAUGCAAUGCGAUCUGUUUGUAAUCUGCAAUGCAACUCAUUUAUUGUUUGCAAUGCAAUGCAAUGCAACCCACUUGCAAACUGCAAUGCAACACAUUUGCUCCUUGUUGUGCAAUGAAACUCAUUUGUUAUUUGCAAUGCAAUACAACUCACUUAUUGCUUGCAACACAAUCUGUUUGCAGUCUGCAAUGCAACAUAUUUGCUUCUGGCAAUGCAAUGCAACUCACUUAUUGUUUGCAAUGCAAUGCAAUGCAAUGCAACCCAUUUGCAAACUGCAAUGCAACACAUUACCCUAUGCAAUCAACUGCAAACCUGUUGGCCUCUUUGCAAUGCAAUGCAACUUGUCUGUUCUCUGCAAUGUAAUGCAACUUGUCUGUUCUCUGCUAUGCAAUGUAACCCAUUUGCAAUCUGCAAUGCAACUCACUUAUAGCUUGCAAACUGCAACACAAUCUGUUUGCAAUCUGCAAUGCAACUCACUUGCUGUUUGCAAUGCAACGCAACCUGUCUGCUGUUUGCAAUACAACACAACCCAUUUGCAAUCUGCAAUGCAAACUCAUUUAUUGUUUGCAUUGGAAUGCAACUCACUUAUUGCUUGCAAACUGCAAUGCAACACACUUGCAAUCUGCAAUGCAACUCACUUGCUCUUUGCAAUGCAAUGCAACCCACUUUUUGCACACACCCUUCCCUUUGCACACCCUGAGCGUGCAACGCACACUGCAAGACCCCCACCUUGCACACUCAAGCUGUGCACUAAUGCACAUCUAUGCACACGCAGCAACCCCUGUGCAACGCAACAACCCCUUUGCACACCCAUGUGCAAAUAUCUCCUGCACUGA